CAGGCACAGAAGAAUCCGCACCCAGGUGCUGUAAGAUCAGGGCACUGGGCAAGAAGAGAGGCAGACUAACCCUAACACCAAAGUCUUUGUGAACCCUUGUGUGAGGAGACUGAUUAAGUGAGCAGAGGCAAGGGGGAGAAGAGAACCACGCUGCCUAAACUGGAAGGAUGGAAGGGUGAGAGGGUCUGAAGAGGAGACAGUCGGCUGCUCCUGUUCUCCACUAAGAAAACCAACCCUCCUAUGAAAGAAGCCCAUAGGUGGAAGAAACUCUUCUUCUCAGACUACUGGUUCCCACACAGAAAGAAAGCCAAAGGGGCAGGGGAGUGACAGAAGAUAACAGCAAAAUUAGCUUCUUGACUGUAAGAGAAGGUCCCACUGGCUGCUCUCCUUCAGACUAGGAGCAAAGGUUCUCUGUCCCUCGUGUAGAGAAUGCUGACAAAUACAGACCAAUAAUCUGCCCGAAUAAAAGGUACCUUCUGAUUCA
RNAcentral lists this long non-coding RNA (484 nucleotides) under Pogona vitticeps (central bearded dragon). Its description in RNAcentral is "lncRNA (ENSPVIG00000025628.1)". The record is from RNAcentral. Lineage: Eukaryota; Metazoa; Chordata; Lepidosauria; Squamata; Agamidae.